This 757-nucleotide long non-coding RNA is filed under the name Rattus norvegicus (Norway rat). RNAcentral's name for it is "long non-coding RNA NONRATT024025". The record is from RNAcentral. Lineage: Eukaryota; Metazoa; Chordata; Mammalia; Rodentia; Muridae.
ACACACACACAGACACACACACACAUGCACACAGUGUCCUACUGCACUGUGAGCUCCUACAGUGUGACUCCCAUAAUCCUUCAUCUUCUGGUUGUGGCCACACAGAGUACAGAAGCCAGGGGCCAGGCAUCCAGCCUUCUUAAUCAGGGUAAUCAGGUCAGUAAAGAAGCCAUUGCCCACUAAAACCAUACAGUCAGCCCCUGCAUCUUCCAAAUAAAGCCCAAGGUCCUGGCGAGAAUGGUCUAAGUGGUCAGACAAUCUCAGGCCUUAAAUCCUUGAACAGUGACAGGGAGCCCCAGCCUUUGCAUGUCGUGCCUAAGUGUGACACAUACAGCAGCCUUACAAACAGCUACAGCCCUUUCCUCAAGGGACUCCAGGGGAGGACACUUUGAGAAGAGUUGGGGUUUUUGUUUGGUUGUUUUUUUCUGUUUAGUUCUCUCGAGAUCUCCCAGGCUUUGUUCCUCUGCGUGGAGGAGCUCUGUGUGCAGUGUGCAUGUAUUUAUGUGUUACACAGAAGCCAGCAUCCAGUCUCAAGCCUACCCCUAAGAAAUAGAGGGUCACCAAGACCCCCAGCAGGCGCCUUUUCCUACGGGUUCUGGGAUGAGGGUACCUGAGCCCUUAUCAAUAGAAGAGACACUUCUGGGGAGACAGCCAAAAGCACCCCACUGAGUCAAGUCAGCCAUCACUGGGCCUAUGGGCCACCUGGGUCUAUCUUAAUGUAACCUUUUAUACACAUGGGGGAGGGGGGCAAAAUAAG